Aquila chrysaetos chrysaetos is the source of this 1264-nucleotide long non-coding RNA. RefSeq lists it as uncharacterized. The record is from RefSeq and is a predicted model, not a curated record. NCBI's taxonomy places the organism in Eukaryota, Metazoa, Chordata, Aves, Accipitriformes, Accipitridae. The transcript has 3 exons.
CGUCUGAAAGGACACGGACAGAACCAGGUCAGGAACCUCGGAGGACGGCGCCCUUGCCAUCGCACCCCGCGGCUUUGCAGUGCCACGGACACGCAAAGCCGCUGAACACGUGAGCCAGUUCCAUAUACAAGCAGUUCCAGUGCUCCGGGCAUGCUCCCAGGAGGGAGGUCACAGGAAUGAGGGAGGGAAAGUGGAGCUGCCAGUUCGGUGGCUCCCUUGCCUUUGUACAUGUGUUCCAACAGGCUGGAGGUAACAAGGCCCCAAGCCCACCAGGACUCCCAAGUGCAGAGAAACCUAAAUUCAUUUAAACAGAGCUGUAAAGCACACAGGUGUGGCUCUCCUUCUUCUUUCCAAGGGGACCUGGUACACAAAGCCUCCCUGGAGGCUCACGGCAGAGCAGGGCAGGCUCUGCUGAGCCCUGUCGUUAGCCUUGCUCACCUCUCCAGCCCUGGCAGUGCAGGCUGUGCGUCAGCUCAGCUAAGGCUCUGCUCCCUCUCUCAGGAGACAGCCGGUCCCCCGGGGGGCAGACAUUCACAGGGCAGGGAACAUUUCCUGGGCCAGUUUCAGCCUGGUGCUCCCGGCUCUGCCUUCAGAGGCUCCCUGGCGUCAGAGCUGCGUUCAGAACGGCUGUCCCGGCAGGACGGGUACAGCAGGAACGGGGCUUUCCUGCUCCAAACAGGGCAGGGAGACAAACCACCUCCAGGGAAAGGGAUUGCUGCGCUUGCAGUCAGCUGGAUGGGAAAAUACUGGCUCGGCUUGUAUUGCAAAGGAAUAGGAUAAGAUAGAAUACGGUAGAAUAGGAUAGGAUAGAAUACAAUACAAUAAGGUAGAAUAGAAUAGAAUAAAAUGGAAUGGAAUAGAAUUGAAUAGAACAGGAUAGAAUAGAAUGCAAAUGAAUGCAAUACAACAGGAUAGGUUAGACUGAAUAGAAUAAGAUAGGAUAGAAUAGAAUGAAAUAGAAUAGAAUAAGUUAGAAUAGCAUGGAAUGGAAUAGAAUAGAAAUAGAAUACAAUAGGACAGGAUAGGUUAGACUGAACAGAAUAAGGUAGGAUAGGAUAUACUAGAAUGAAAUAGAAUAGAAUAAGUUAGAAUAGCAUAUGAUAGAAUAGAAUAGGAUAGAAUGCAAAUGAAUGCAAUAGAACAGGAUAGGUUAGAAUGAAUAGAAUAAGGUAGGAUAGGAUAUAAUAGAAUGAAAUAGAAUAGAAUAAGUUAGAAUAGAAUAUGAUAGAAUAGAAUAGAAUGGAAUAGAAUAGAAUGGAAUAGA